This 396-nucleotide ribosomal RNA is filed under the name uncultured bacterium. RNAcentral's name for it is "bacterial SSU rRNA". It matches the Rfam family "Bacterial small subunit ribosomal RNA", at positions 28 to 417 of the family's 1533-position model. The record is from RNAcentral.
GACGAACGCUGGCGGCGUGCCUAACACAUGCAAGUCGUACGGGAUUUGGGGGCAACUCCAAGUUCAGUGGCAGACGGGUGCGUAACACGUGAGCAACUUGCCCGACGGCGGGGGAUAGCCGGCCUAACGGCCGGGUAAUACCGCGUACGCUCUUUUGGGGACAUCCCUGAAUGAGGAAAGCAGCCGCAAGGUUGCGCCGACGGAGGGACUCGCGGCCUAUCAGCUAGUUGGCGGGGUAAUGGCCCACCAAGGCGACGACGGGUAGCUGGUCUGAGAGGACGAUCAGCCACAUUGGGACUGAGACACGGCCCAGACUCCUACGGGAGGCAGCAGUGGGGAAUAUUGCGCAAUGGCCGCAAGGCUGACGCAGCGACGCCGUGUGUGGGAUGACGGCCU